UGAAACUUCCAUCCAGUGGGUAUUGUCCUACUUUUAAAUUGGUUCAAAAUAGGAUCAUCAAGGUAUCUAGAUAUCCAUGGCAAAGAAUCAGCUCUUUUCUAAUCAAUGAGUUUUGCUGGUGGUUAAGUAUAUAUUUCAAUGGUCCGUGUAAAGGAAACAACAGUAGACAAAGAAAAUUGUAUUUCUCGGCUGACUGUAUUGUCUUUCCUGAGGACCCUCAUCAUAACAACUUUUUCUCUGGUGACAGAUUUCCAAUGAAUCACCCUGAAGUAGUACCUGCAAUGACGUUGCACACACUAUUCUCUGCAAUCAGCUGUGCGAAGACAGCUGUCACUCCUCUUCGUCACUAAAGGGAAUCCCAGUCUGAUGGCAGCAGUCCCAUGGUAAGAUCUGGUCUGCAGAGAAGAACCAUCACAGAACUCUCCAAGAAUAUAUUUAUCAAAGCCAUGUGGAAGAGAGUAUCCUCUGGACCAUCCCAGGAUGAUUCCUGGCCACAGCAAAGAGGAAGCUUGGGUUUGCAUGUCCAGGACCUCCACCCUAAGUAUUCAGGCACUCUUUUUGACAUCAUUGCUGUUGUUACUUAGGUGUAUCUCCUUGGUUGUGUUUCUCCAUUCUGCUAUAAAAACUGAGAAAACACAGAGACUAAUCAGUCAUUGAAUAUUAUGGAUGAGUCUUUGAAAAGGCAUUUUGCCCCGUCUUCUGCCCCUCAAGUAAGUGUUUAGCUGUAUCAUUCCAAACACAUGAGAAUCUAUUUGGCUCCAGAACUGCAGGGAAAUAAGGUACAGUCUUCCUCAGUAAACCCUGCCACUGAUAAUAUUAUCAUGUAUGAAAUUAUGAAUGAAUUUAUUGACUAAUUGACAAUAUGUCAGUUGGAGAAUUUAAUCUUGAGUGUACCGUUUUCACAAUGCAGCAAACUUUGAAGUUACUAUCAAAAGCCAGAUGUCUUUAAGGUAUGUUAAAAAUUCAGUCAAAACUUUAAAAAUUUAAUAGGAAUAAUACAAGCCUUGCUCUGUAGAUUGUUUGAAGGUUGCUAUUGCAACGCUUGAA
RNAcentral lists this long non-coding RNA (1047 nucleotides) under Homo sapiens (human). RNAcentral's name for it is "HSALNT0322416". The record is from RNAcentral. Lineage: Eukaryota; Metazoa; Chordata; Mammalia; Primates; Hominidae.